Xyrichtys novacula (pearly razorfish) is the source of this 2674-nucleotide non-coding RNA. The record is from the annotation of a GenBank genome assembly. Lineage: Eukaryota; Metazoa; Chordata; Actinopteri; Labriformes; Labridae.
UUUAAAAAAACAGUAAGAAUCAGCUCUCUUUUGCACAACUAAAGAUAAAUGCAGCUUAAUAGAAUAGUUUGAGUAACUUUGUGUGCGAGAAGAAAACUAUAAAGCUCAUAUAUAUCAUGAUAAUGUAUUGUUUCUGCUUUUAUUAAGGCAAAGUUAUUGAGUGGUGUAAAGAUGAGACUUAAUUUCUUCAGGCUGCAUCCUAAAGGCUAAACUAAAAGUCUUUCAAUUGAGGCUUUAGGAUUUUGAAUUAGCCAAAUAUGUUGAAAAAGAUCUGAAAAUAACCUCCAAACUUACCUGUUAUAGAAACUUGUGGCUGCUAUUUCUAAAUAUUUUUUGCUGACCCUCACUCCUAACCCUCACUCCUAACAUCAAUCAUAUACUCAAAAAUUUUAACCUCAAUAUUGGCACAUCAGUUAUCCAUCAAAAUCCAACCCCAAUUUAGUCAAAGUUGGGUCACUGUGUAAAAUAUUGAAAACAGAAUCUGAUUAUCCAAAAUUAUUUAAAACCUUUAAUUUGUAGUUGUUCGAAGAUGGCACUCCAAAUGUUGAGACUAAAAGUUCAAUGGUAAUAAUAUCAAUAUUGAAAUAUUUGAUGCUAAGAUAAAGUUUGAAUAAACUGGUGACAGAAGCAUGUCACUGUAAACAUUUGGGAAAGCAGAACAAACUAGGGGAUCCCUCUUCAGAGCACAGAAUGCCCAUCCAUGAUUUACAAAAAGAAUGUCAAGUUUUGACUCAUCAGACUGCAUGACUGUUCUCCACUUCGCCUGGGGGUCAAGUAGUCAGCAUUUCUUGAUUAAGUCUAUAAAUGGUUUCUUCCUGCACAGUAAAGUUUGUAGACGCAGUAACAAAGUGUAUUCACAAACAGAGUUUUUUGGAAGUGGUUUGAAGCCCAUGCAGUGAUUUCCACCACAGAGUCAGGAAGUAAAAAUCACCCCAGAGCCCAAAGAUCAAGAGGGGGUUUUAUUGCCAUUGUCAAUGAACAGGAUUCACAGACUAGGAUUUUUUUACGGCGUGAUGGUGCAACAUUAAACAGAGAAAAGUAUAUAAAAUACUAGAAUAAACUAUCACAACUAUCCAGUAAUGUUUUUUGGCCUUGGUCCUUUUAUUUGAAAAUCUCUUGAUUCUUAUUACACUAAUGUGUAUUAAGUGAUGAACUCCUCUAAUCCUUCGCAAUAUUAUGCAAAUUAACCUAAUUAGAUGGUAAAUGGUGUUUUCCUUAGCAUUACACAACUUGUGUUGCUGGCCUCAUAUUUUAAAUUAGAAUGUAUUUCCAUAAUAGCAUUACAUUUUUCAUUUUCAAGAUUCAAAAUGCAACAUUUACACCAUUUUCAACUGAAUGAUGCGAACAAUCAAACUCUGUUUAUUAUUUACGCUUGUCCUCAUGGUCCACAAUUAACUAUUUCGCUGAUUGAAAGUGCUGACAGAGUGACCUCAUGAGGGCGCUAAUGUAUUGGCUAAUCAGUUCCACUGCAGCGUGUCCUAUAUCCACUCGGCAGCCUGAUUCAUAAAUUAGAGCCAUUCAUAAUUGUAGCCUCAAAGCUUGAACAAUGUCACAGUUUAAUGACUGUUUUACUUUUAAAUUUGACGGCACUCUGUCUGGUUAAGGAUACUAUCACUAUUGAGGGAUCGUGAAUCGUUUUAUUGGAAUAAAUUCAUCUCUAUCACCCCGCUACAGCGACAAAGACAUAAAAAUGUCAGUAUUUUUGCUUCGUAGACACAGUUGAAAAUACAUUUAAAAAUGCGAUGAUGGCCCAUCAAGAAAAAAGUCGUUGAAAAAUAAAAAAAAACUAGAGUAAUUUAUCUCUACAUUGAAUUUAUAUACAAUGUAUAAAGUGUAUUUUUCAACAAUAAGCUCGACAGAUGUGAUGACCAUACGACAAACAGCAGUACUAACCAUCAAUCAACUGUAUUGAUUUCGGGGGGGUUUGUUUACCUGCUACUCUUGACCACGUGCUCGCAAUGCGGCCACGCAUGCGCUUUAGAGACUUUGCUUUUGGCACGCGUCUGUGUCGGUGGCGCGCACAGCUAAAAACAAGUUCCAUCCCCGCGAGCGCGCUGUCGAGAGCUUCACCUCAUGCUGAUUGGCCGUUGAGCUUAGCCCCGCCUUUUAUUACAGCGGAUUGGUUAGACGGGGAUUUUCCUGCUCACUGAUUGGAUGCUAUUUGUGGAACCGGCUGUGUAGCUAGGCUACUGUUGCCUUCAAGUGUAUCUCCAAAAAUCAAAUUUAAGAUAAGUUGAAGAUAACGCUCUGUCUUUGUUAGUUUUUCUGUCAGAAAGCACAGUUUGACGAUAUCGAGCAGACUUAACGUUUCGGAAGGUGUUGAAAGUUCGCUUCCAGUUGAGUCUUAUGGAAAUGACAAGAUUAACGUGUAGCUGCUGCUGGUGUAGAUGAGAAGAUAAAUUCUGACUUGAGCUUUGAGAGAAAAUGAUUAAAUCUACUUCAAUCAUGUCAUGGGUGUUUCUGUUUUGUUUUUACAGUGUCGAGACUCACUUGGGAGCCUAAAACACAAGACUCAUCCCAGAGAAGAAACAGUUUUAGGAAAAGUAUGGACUAAUUCUAAAGUAGUUCAGUUCUACCAACUAAAGUUUCUCUAUUAAUGAGCUCAUCUGUGUUUUUUUUACAUUAUAAAAAGAAACCUGGUUAGCAUUUCAUUGACCACAAAGAAGCUCUAUCU